GAGAGUAUAGAACAUGGCUCCAUGAAGCAAUGCCCCAGUCAGUAGGGCCUGAUUCCUGCCACCUGGAAGGAUAGCUACACAUCCUGGAAUUGCCCACAUUUGAGGAAGCUGGGAAGCUGACAUUUGGAAAGCUAACUGUCUGAUUGUUCUGUUCCAUAUUUUGCUGGUAGUUCCUGGCAUAGCUGAAAAGAGAACCCCCAGGUUCCCAUCCACCACUGCCUUUGAACUCUCUUGGUCUCUCAAGGAUGCUUUGAUUGUUCCUAUUAUACAGGAGUGCUGUGUGGAGAAUGAUUCUGAGACCAUGUGCAAUGCCAGCAGAAAAGAACAGAGAUCGAUUAGUAAUGGCCAUCAUGAAUCUCUGCAAUGAAAGAAAAGAGAGCCCAGAGGGAACCCUGCAAACAUCCACUUAAAAACUGGACUGAGCUUGGCACUAUUUCUCCCAACAGGAACCCCCUUACAUCUUGAUAGCACUUGAUAGUUUCAAAAGCAUUUUUCAUUUGCUUUGUUUUCACUUAACCAUUCUAUCAACUGUGUGAACUCAGGAGGGUUAAUCUAUCUUCACAUUGAUUAGUUUACCCAUUAAACGCUUAUUGAGUCAUUA
Nyctereutes procyonoides (raccoon dog) is the source of this 601-nucleotide long non-coding RNA. RefSeq lists it as uncharacterized. Lineage: Eukaryota; Metazoa; Chordata; Mammalia; Carnivora; Canidae. The record is from RefSeq and is a predicted model, not a curated record. The transcript is spliced from 2 exons.